RNAcentral lists this ribosomal RNA (301 nucleotides) under uncultured bacterium. Its description in RNAcentral is "partial 16S ribosomal RNA". It matches the Rfam family "Bacterial small subunit ribosomal RNA", at positions 509 to 807 of the family's 1533-position model. The record is from RNAcentral.
CAGCAGCCGCGGUAAUACGUAGGGUGCGAGCGUUGUCCGGAAUUACUGGGCGUAAAGAGCUCGUAGGCGGUUUGUCGCGUCGUCUGUGAAAUUCUGCAGCUUAACUGCAGGCGUGCAGGCGAUACGGGCAGACUUGAGUACUACAGGGGAGACUGGAAUUCCUGGUGUAGCGGUGAAAUGCGCAGAUAUCAGGAGGAACACCGGUGGCGAAGGCGGGUCUCUGGGUAGUAACUGACGCUGAGGAGCGAAAGCGUGGGUAGCGAACAGGAUUAGAUACCCGUGUAGUCCCUGUCUCUUAUAC